Molecule: ribosomal RNA, 468 nt
Filed under: uncultured bacterium
Lineage: Bacteria
Description: partial 16S ribosomal RNA
Rfam family: Bacterial small subunit ribosomal RNA
Source: RNAcentral
GACGAACGCUGGCGGCGUGCUUAACACAUGCAAGUCGAACGGAAAGGCCCUGCUUUUGUGGGGUGCUCGAGUGGCGAACGGGUGAGUAACACGUGAGUAACCUGCCCUUGACUUUGGGAUAACUUCAGGAAACUGGGGCUAAUACCGGAUAGGAGCUCCUGCUGCAUGGUGGGGGUUGGAAAGUUUCGGCGGUUGGGGAUGGACUCGCGGCUUAUCAGCUUGUUGGUGGGGUAGUGGCUUACCAAGGCUUUGACGGGUAGCCGGCCUGAGAGGGUGACCGGCCACAUUGGGACUGAGGUACGGCCCAGACUCCUACGGGAGGCAGCAGUGGGGAAUAUUGCACAAUGGGCGGAAGCCUGAUGCAGCAACGCCGCGUGCGGGAUGACGGCCUUCGGGUUGUAAACCGCUUUCGCCUGGGACGAAGCGUGAGUGACGGUAAUGGGUAAAGAAGCACCGGCUAACUACGUU